AGAGGAACAAAGUAUUUUUGGGGUAUCUCAUAGAUUUAUCUAUGAAUAUUACUGAUUUUGGAGAUUUUCUCUCAUGAAAUUUUGGAGUUGCAAAGUUUCUGUUUAUCCUCACAAGACAUGGAGGGUUUCCAAAUAGCUCUUUUUCUUGAAAGGCUUAUGGCCUCAAUGGAAUGAAAUAACUAAUGAGUAAAUACAGUUUAUAGUUAUCUAAUUAAUUUUAUGAAUGCUAGAACACAAGAAAAUUCUACAGAUUAGAUUUAUGAUAAAAUCCAAUCUUUUAUUCAGCCUUGUAUUCUUUAAAAAUUACCAGCAUUUAUUGGCUUACAAAGGAAAAAACUCAGGAAAGAAGAUGUAGCUGUUAAAUAAAUAUAUUAGCUGUUGGUGUAUUCCCUUUCUAACAAUUUGAAAGUUAAUAAUUGUUUUUGAACAUAAAAGUAACAGCUUUCAGAAUCAUCAUUAAUAUAGCAGUCUGGUCUUGUAUUACUAUGCACACAUUUAUUCGACUGAUAGAAUUUCAACACAUUAAAACUCAUGAGUAGAUGUUCAUCAAAAGUUGUUUCUAGAGAAUGCUUACUCACAUUUGAAAGCAAGUGGUCUGCUUUCUCCAGGCCUUGUUUUUACCUUCUGGCAUUGUUCAUGAUACUGGCUUUGUUAUGUUGGUUAGAUGUGGUAACUUAUUCUCACCUUUUCCUUGAUGAGGCACAGGUUCAGGGAUGCUGGAAAGGACAUUGAAGUAGGCAUUGGCUGAUGGGCCUUUCAGAAGUGAACACUUAAGAGUAGGUUUUCAGAGUAACUCUGUGAGGUGAUGAGUAUGUUAAUUGACUUGAUUGUGGUGAUCAUUUCAUUUUGUAUAUGUGUAUCAAAACAUCAUGUACACCUUAAAUAUGUAAAAUUUUUAUUUUCCAGUUAUAACUCAGUAAAACUGGUGGGGGAGAGAACAAAUAGUUUUACUGAACACUAGGCCAAAGUCAGACUUUGAUGUAUUUUGUCCAUGUGUCUAUAGGUGUUCCUGUACUUACUUAAUUUGAGGAUCUUUUUGCGUGUUCUAAAAUACAGUUAGAACAUGAAUGAGAUAGAGACAGAGUAACUAGGUCAGCAAAACCAAAACGUCACGUUCAGCAUCUGCAAGACUAGGUGAACAGUAUCCCCCGACUCACAUACAAAGAUGUGGUCUUGCUGUGUUCCCUAGGCUGAUCUUGAACUGCUGAAGACCAGCCUCAAGUGAUUCUUCCACCUUAACCUCCCCAAAUGCUGGGAUUACAGGUGUGAGUCACCAUCUUGGCCUUUACUCACUUUUUAGUCUGCUUUUAAAUUUUAAACAUUCUCCAGCAUCAAUAUUCUUCUAUAGUACUGUUUUAAAUGACAAAUUAGUAUUCUAUGAAUGAGUUAAUGUUUAAUGGUUCCCCAUUUUUGCUAAUUAGUUCAUGAACAAUGUUUAAGUGAAUACUAUUAUGGGAUUUUUUUGUUUGUUUUUUAUUUAUUGCCUUAGGUUCAAUUCCUAGAAGUUGGAAUUGUUAAGGUGAAGCAUAUGUACAUUUGAAAGCCUUUUGAUAUGUUAUUUUUAAAUAUCUUUUUAAAGUACAGUUUAUGCUUCUACCAGCUACACAUCAGAAUUUUUCUACACCCUAGGAUCCUAGGUAUUUUAAAAUGUUUGCCAAUUCGAUAGACAAAACAUAACUCAAUAUUUAAAUUUACAUUUGCUUGAAUAUUAGACCAAGUAUGUUUUUUGGGGGGUUUGUUACUGAUGUUUUUUGUGAGUUUCCUUUUACCAUUCUUUGUUGAUACUACUUUUGGGUUUUAAUUUUUUUUUCUUAAUUUACCAAAGUUUCUCAUUGAACCCUUAUUAGAUGCCAAUAGCUAUUCUAAAUUAUUUACAGGUAUUAACUUAUUUACUCCUAAUGAUAACUCUGAUACAGGUACUGUGAUUGACCUAGACAGAGGUUCGGUAGCCUGCCCCAGGUCACACAGCUAGUAAGGGAUAGAACUGGGGAGCAAAUCCAGACCUGUGAGUCCCUACUGUUAAUGAUCAUGCUUUUGAUUCUAGGGAUACUUAUUGUUACUUAUUGCUGGUACAUUUUCCAGUUUGCAUUUGCCUUUUGUUCUUGAUAUCAUUUUAUACAAGAGCUUUAAUUUUUGGUAUUGGAGAACUAAGUUUUAUUUAUUAGUGUAAUGCCUCAAACGUAACAGAUUCUCAAAUCUGUGUGUUGAACAAAUGAGAAUGAACCCAUCAGCAGUCUGUUGAUGACCUUUUAUGUAGUGUAAUAUUUAUCUCCUUUUAAAGGGAUUCCCAGGGCUUCAUAAAUGAUGUACUCUUUGGUUUUUAUUAGGCACAGUAAGCUUAUCUGUAUUGGCUCUUCUGGAAAGUUUUUUAGACGUAAUCACUGCUUUUAAAAGGAACAUGUGUUCUUAAGCAAAUAGGAGUUGUGAAGAAUGUAUUUAUUGACAGUGAUUUGAAUUGUAGAUUCAAAGUGAAAUGAAAUAAUUUCACUCUAGGAAUAAUUGGAUGGGAUUUUUUUUGUAGUUUUAGAAAAUUAUAGAUUUGGCCAUUGUUUUAAAAGUUUUGAAUAAAUUUUGGCUUAGUGUAAGAAGUAAGAUUCUUUGACAGGAAAACUAAAACUACAAAACUUGAUAUGAAAAAUUAUCAUUGCUUAAGAUUUGGAUAGUGUAGAUCAACUCCUCAAAAGGUGAAAUUUAAGAUUUUACUUUUCUCGAACUCCUGACCUCAGGUUAUCCUCCUGCCUCGGGCUCCCAAAGUGCUGGAAUUGCAGGUAUGGGCCACCACGCCCAGCCAAGAUUUUACUUUUCUUUAAGCACUCUUUCUCCCUUUUUCUCUGGUGGUUAAUAGCAGGCUACUUAACGGUGCCUUCUUAGUUUGGCCUCGGUAUUCCUUACUUUAGUCUUUUAAAAAAAGUGUAGUGAUCCAUAUUGCUAAUGGAUAUACAUUAGAGAGAAACACAAAUAAGUUCAUUUUAAUUUUUACAAACCAUCCACAAAAUGUACUGCAUGGAAUCAGGUACUCAAAAAGAUACUCAAGAUGUAAAGAUUUAUCUUGUUAACACAAAUCCAGGUCUGCUUUGUAUAAAGUUACCAAAGCUUAAAAAACAUUGUUGAGUGCUUGCUGUUUUUGUAACCUACUGGUUACACCCUGUUCUUUCCUCUUCUGCUGCUGGUAGUAGUAUUCUUCAGGCCAUUUGUAUUCGUCUGUUCUUGGACUGCUAUAAAGGAAUACCUAAGACUGGGUCAUUUAUGAAGAAAAGAGGUUUAAUUGGUACACGGUUCCACAGGCUAUACGUGAAGCAUGGCUAGGGAGGCCUCAGGAAACUUAGAGUCACGGUAGAGAGUGAAGGGGAGCAGGCGUGUCUUCCAGCAGAGGAAAAGAGAGAAGGGGGAGGUGCUACACAGUUUUAAACAGCCAGAUCCCACGAGAACGAUCUCACCUAACUCAUCAUCCUGAGAACAGCACGGGGGAAGUCUGCCCCUAUGAUCCAGUCACCCCUUAAGAGGCCUCUCCUCCGACAUUGAGGAUUACAAUUUGACAUGGGGUUUGGGUGGGGACACAUAUCUAAAACAAUCACCGUGCUUAGCUGAUAUUGUUAAAUUCAGACUUGUUCUUUUAUAUUAAGCGUUAAUCAGUCUAGUUUACAUGCUUAUGUUAAUAAAAUUUAAUCCAUUCUGAAAGUAAAAGAGUGAAAUGUUAGUUUUCCUUUUCCUCAUUCCCACUUAUAGGGGUAACCCCUUUUAAUCUUUUCCAUUUUAAGAUUCUUCUCUUGGUUGCCUCCAUGACUGUUAAUACAUUAGUAUGUUUGUAGCUGUGUUUUACUAUGAAACCAGAUAUCGCUCCGUGCUAUCUCUUUGCCAGCCAGUUUCUCCCGAUUUUCUUUUAAAGUUUUUCUGUUGGUUAUUAUUAAAAUUUUAUAAAACUAAUUUAAACCUCGUUCUUGGCCAUCAGUUUUAGACAGUUUCUCUUGAUUUCUCAAGAUUUGAAAUGAGAGCUUUGGAGCUCUUUAUAUUUCUUUUUACUUCAUAGCUGUUAACCCACCAGUUAUUUCCAGCUUGUGUAUAGGUAUAUUCACUUACACAUCUUGCUGUCACUUAAUUGAAUUCUUUAUUUUUGUGUUAGAAUCUUCUGAAUAUUGAAAACAGAAAACUAUACUGAAGAUCAUAGUGUAUUAAGACUGAUGGAGAGGGAGAUGUGAUACUGUGUCACUAAGGUCGUUCCAGUCAUAGGAGAAAUGUUACCACUGGAUUGAGGUCUGGUAUAUUUUAAAAGAUGAUUUAAUUCUAUGAUAUGUGUUCAACUUGCACUAGGAAAGUUUUUACUUCCACCUUUGUUACUUUCACCAAAGGUUACUUUCACCUUUGUUCAUGCACGGCACAAAUACCUGUGAACCCUUACUGCCCAACUCAAGAGCCAGAGUCCUCUCUCAUCCUUUUGCUUCUCUUCUAAGUGAGAGGACUGAGUGCAGACUUGGUGUUUGUGGGUGAGGCAUGUGGACUGACAGGCUUCAGUUUAUUUAGCGAGUGUAAGUCCUGGCAGGAAGGUUCUCUUUCUUUCCUUGCCAGGUUGAGGAGACCUCAUUAAACAGUAUGAACUUGUGGUUUUGGCGUGUCUAGUCCUGAUGCAGGUGGCUUGGUAUCCUCACAGGCAUUUCUUUGGCCUUGCCCUUGGGGUGACUGUUCACUUGUGUUUGAGCAGCUGGGACUCAGUAGGUUCCCUGGAGUAGGUAUUUCUUUAGAGCCCCUGGGGGAGGCUGAUCAUGCAGCAGAUAGUUGUUUAGUGUCAAGCCAAUCUCUCCGCUUCUUUCUAUUCUAGUUUUUCUUUACCACCCAGAGCGGCAUCUGCCACUUCUGCUCUGGUUCCUGGUCCCACCUUUCAGCUCUAGAUCUUUUUGACAUUCCUUAAAUUAUUGGUAUGAUCCCAGGUGCCUUUUUCUUGCAGAAAACUGACAAAAUCUUUGGUUCACUGGUAUGUCUCCAUCCCAUGCUUUAUUUUAUUUUGUGAUCUUUUACUGCUUGUUUCGGUGUUUGAUAUGGAGGAUAAGAACAGUGUGUUUACUUUAUCCAGUGCUCUAGAUUUUCUUUUUAGAAGCACCCUCCUUCCCAGCUUGGGAAAACUGAGCUGCUGGGGUGGCUGUUGGCUCCUUUGCUUGCUGUUAGUUUUAAAGGAUUGUUUUCAGUCACACUUGAAUUGUAGCUAUCCUUGGUUCUCUUUUUACCAAUGAAUUCUGGUAGUAUGUUUUAAGAACUGGGUGGCCUUCCUGGCCUUUAUAAACAUUUUCUGUAAUGCCUAGUGAGCUACGAAGUUGCCCAUUGGAGAUGAGGCUUUAUUGAAAGUCAGCACCUGUACUUCACUCCCUGCCUUUGUGACUUCGGGUUUCAAUUGGGUGUUUGGAAGCACUGUUUCUUCUGUCCUUGACCUUGUUCCACAUGUUUUACGCAUUACCUCCUGUGAGCAGGCACAGAGCCUUUCCUUGUCAGCUGGGCUUCAGCUGCUUUGAGGAUGACUACUUAUCCCUUGCAGGUGCUUCCCACCAAGGCUCUUGAAAGGGAAGUUUUCAUAAUGUUCAUUUUUAAAAAAGUUAGACCAAAUAUACCCCCUAAACUUGUUAAGUCUGCUUGUUUUCAUAUGACAUAGAAAUUGAUACAAAAAUACUUUAUGUAGUUUGUAUAGAUGAAGUUGAUUAAGAAAGAUGACACUUAUUCUACUAUUUUGUCUUGAUAAGUACAGUGCAAAAAACAGUUUUUAAGCCCUAAAGUUAACUUGCAAGAAUCUUUUUUUUUGACAAUAUGCUAUCUAUUGAAUAAAAUCUUAAGAAGUCAACUUUUAUAUUUUCAUGAUACCUAAAUGAGGGAGCAAAAGUAUUUUAGUAUAUGACAAUAUACUGUGAGUUAGUUGAUUCAGAAGAGUAAACAGUAGUCCAUUAUUUAAAAAUUUAUGUCUGUAAUCCAGAUUUAAAUAACAGGUUACCUUCUAGCUUUAUAAACAGUCUUAAUGAGAAGUGGGGGACAAAAAAGAAGCAGGAUUGCCCUUAAGUUGGAGAAUAGAAAUAUCUACUUGGCUUAACGUUUUUAUAAAAGAUGUCCAGCAAAACUAUGGUGGCAGCCUUACUUUAGAGAAUGAGGUAUUACAAACUUGACCAAGGUAGUCAUGCCAGACUUUUGAAUAUUUUUCUAAAUUAGAUGGCUUCAAAUUAAAAAAAGAUUUUAUCCACUUGAUGUUUUUGCAAAACUAUAAAGCUGUGUUCUAUUUCUACCUAAAAUAUAAAAUUGUUAGUAUGGUAUGAUUUGUCAUUUGAGAUUAUCUUGGCUAAUACAUUACUGGGAAUAAUAAUGGCUAUUACACAUUGAGAGGAUAGAGGCUGUUUCUGUGUCUCAAGCAUCAUUAACUGCAGAUUAAAAAAAGUUAUCAGUUACUCUAAAUAUAUGUCUUACAGGGGAGAAAAUGUAAUCAGCAUAUUGUACUUUUUUAGCCUGGCCUGGUGGCGCAAGCUUGUAAUCCCAGCUACUCGGGAGGCUGAGGCAGGAGAAUUGCUUGAACCUGGGAGGCUGUGGUUGCAGUGAG
This is a non-coding RNA of Chlorocebus sabaeus (green monkey), 6562 nucleotides long. The record is from RefSeq and is a predicted model, not a curated record. Lineage: Eukaryota; Metazoa; Chordata; Mammalia; Primates; Cercopithecidae.